Molecule: long non-coding RNA, 1027 nt
Organism: Cyanistes caeruleus (blue tit)
Lineage: Eukaryota; Metazoa; Chordata; Aves; Passeriformes; Paridae
Source: RefSeq, a predicted model, not a curated record
GGGUCCCUUGUCCUAGGUGAAAUUACCCUCUGCUUUCGUCCCCGCGCUUGAGGGAGGAAGGCUUUCAGGUCCAAAAUGUGCCCUGCUCCUUCCUUCUAAGUUGUUCAUCAGAACAAGCUGUUGUUCCUGAGAGGAAGGAGAGAAGCCAGUAUCUCCUUGUGGAACACUGCUUUGUCUUUAUGUUGCCAUUCUCGAGAGCUCCUGUUGCCAAGAGGAAUUUCUUGAUUUAACGAAAAACCAGUCAUAUAUGACAUGGCAGUAUGCACCAGAGGCUUUCCCACCACCAGCCUGGAGCAGGCAGGGCUGGUUCUUUGAGCCCGAGGGAAACGAAAUGGUGACCUGAAGUUGUUAUGUCACAGGUCCCUAUGCUCAAUGAUUCCAGCAAGGGUUUCUGUGCCAAGCCUACCUUCAAACGGGUGGCAAAAAUGUGCCCAACCCUGACUUUCAAUCCAUUAUGAAUUGUCACCACCACUGCACGCUGGGCCUGACACCCCAAAAAAGCCAGAAGAUGACUCUGGAACUGAAGCACGGUGUUCCAGGAGGAAUCUCCACCAACCUGACUUGAGCUCAGUGUGGAACUGCAGUACCUAAACAUGGAGGAAGAAGAAUAUUUCUGUGAGGUGCAAGAAGAAUAUUUGCACCUAUCCAAGAAAAACUACUGAUUCAGAACAUAACUGAAAAUAUAAUACACACUUAUUAAAAUGGGAUAUUUGUGGGAACUCAUAGACACAAUCUGUACUUGUCAUUGGACACAGAAGUCUGUAGCUUUCUGUCAAAAGGUUAUUGUGAAAUUCAAAAUGUCAAAGCUUAAAAAUUCAAAAUAUUAUGUUGGGGGGAAAAAAUCUAUAGAAGAUAGUCUACACAGAACAGAGAUUUAGUGUGAGGAAGUCAGAAAGUAGAACAGUGUUCUUCAUGAGCAACUUCAUCCAAAUGUUUUUUUGUCACAUAAGCUCUUCAGUUAUGAGCAAAAACAGAGACUGCAGCUCCAAAUACUCUCACUUAGCACAUUCUCUUUUCAAGAACUCUG